CCGGAAUUGCUAGUAAUGGCAGGUCAGCAUACUGCCGUGAAUACGUUCCCGGGCCUUGUACACACCGCCCGUCACACCAUGAGAGUUGGGAAUACCCGAAGCCUGUGAGCUAACAUUUAUGAGGCAGCAGUCGAAGGUAGAAUCAAUGAUUGGGGUGAAGUCGUAACAAGGUACC
Molecule: ribosomal RNA, 175 nt
Filed under: uncultured bacterium
Lineage: Bacteria
Description: partial 16S ribosomal RNA
Rfam family: Bacterial small subunit ribosomal RNA
Source: RNAcentral